UUAAUUUGAGAGUUUGAUCCUGGCUCAGGACGAACGCUGGCGGCGUGCCUAAUACAUGCAAGUCGAACGAACUCUGGUAUUGAUUGGUGCUUGCAUCAUGAUUUACAUUUGAGUGAGUGGCGAACUGGUGAGUAACACGUGGGAAACCUGCCCAGAAGCGGGGGAUAACACCUGGAAACAGAUGCUAAUACCGCAUAACAACUUGGACCGCAUGGUCCGAGUUUGAAAGAUGGCUUUGGCUAUCACUUUUGGAUGGUCCCGCGGCGUAUUAGCUAGAUGGUGGGGUAACGGCUCACCAUGGCAAUGAUACGUAGCCGACCUGAGAGGGUAAUCGGCCACAUUGGGACUGAGACACGGCCCAAACUCCUACGGGAGGCAGCAGUAGGGAAUCUUCCACAAUGGACGAAAGUCUGAUGGAGCAACGCCGCGUGAGUGAAGAAGGGUUUCGGCUCGUAAAACUCUGUUGUUAAAGAAGAACAUAUCUGAGAGUAACUGUUCAGGUAUUGACGGUAUUUAACCAGAAAGCCACGGCUAACUACGUGCCAGCAGCCGCGGUAAUACGUAGGUGGCAAGCGUUGUCCGGAUUUAUUGGGCGUAAAGCGAGCGCAGGCGGUUUUUUAAGUCUGAUGUGAAAGCCUUCGGCUCAACCGAAGAAGUGCAUCGGAAACUGGGAAACUUGAGUGCAGAAGAGGACAGUGGAACUCCAUGUGUAGCGGUGAAAUGCGUAGAUAUAUGGAAGAACACCAGUGGCGAAGGCGGCUGUCUGGUCUGUAACUGACGCUGAGGCUCGAAAGUAUGGGUAGCAAACAGGAUUAGAUACCCUGGUAGUCCAUACCGUAAACGAUGAAUGCUAAGUGUUGGAGGGUUUCCGCCCUUCAGUGCUGCAGCUAACGCAUUAAGCAUUCCGCCUGGGGAGUACGGCCGCAAGGCUGAAACUCAAAGGAAUUGACGGGGGCCCGCACAAGCGGUGGAGCAUGUGGUUUAAUUCGAAGCUACGCGAAGAACCUUACCAGGUCUUGACAUACUAUGCAAAUCUAAGAGAUUAGACGUUCCCUUCGGGGACAUGGAUACAGGUGGUGCAUGGUUGUCGUCAGCUCGUGUCGUGAGAUGUUGGGUUAAGUCCCGCAACGAGCGCAACCCUUAUUAUCAGUUGCCAGCAUUAAGUUGGGCACUCUGGUGAGACUGCCGGUGACAAACCGGAGGAAGGUGGGGAUGACGUCAAAUCAUCAUGCCCCUUAUGACCUGGGCUACACACGUGCUACAAUGGAUGGUACAACGAGUUGCGAACUCGCGAGAGUAAGCUAAUCUCUUAAAGCCAUUCUCAGUUCGGAUUGUAGGCUGCAACUCGCCUACAUGAAGUCGGAAUCGCUAGUAAUCGCGGAUCAGCAUGCCGCGGUGAAUACGUUCCCGGGCCUUGUACACACCGCCCGUCACACCAUGAGAGUUUGUAACACCCAAAGUCGGUGGGGUAACCUUUUAGGAACCAGCCGCCUAAGGUGGGACAGAUGAUUAGGGUGAAGUCGUAACAAGGUAGCCGUAGGAGAACCUGCGGCUGGAUCACCUCCUUUCUAAGGAA
Molecule: ribosomal RNA, 1576 nt
Filed under: Lactiplantibacillus pentosus
Lineage: Bacteria; Bacillati; Bacillota; Bacilli; Lactobacillales; Lactobacillaceae
Also listed under: 1 other name
Description: Lactobacillus pentosus 16S ribosomal RNA
Rfam family: Bacterial small subunit ribosomal RNA
Source: RNAcentral